This 496-nucleotide ribosomal RNA is filed under the name uncultured bacterium. RNAcentral's name for it is "bacterial SSU rRNA". It matches the Rfam family "Bacterial small subunit ribosomal RNA", at positions 38 to 524 of the family's 1533-position model. The record is from RNAcentral.
GGCGGCAGGCUUACACAUGCAAGUCGAACGGUAGCAGGAGAAAGCUUGCUUUCUUGCUGACGAGUGGCGGACGGGUGAGUAAUGCUUGGGAAUCUGGCUUAUGGAGGGGGAUAACUACUGGAAACGGUAGCUAAUACCGCGUAAUAUCGGAAGAUUAAAGGGUGGGACCGUAAGGCCACCUGCCAUAAGAUGAGCCCAAGUGGGAUUAGGUAGUUGGUGGGGUAAAGGCCUACCAAGCCGACGAUCUCUAGCUGGUCUGAGAGGAUGACCAGCCACACUGGAACUGAGACACGGUCCAGACUCCUACGGGAGGCAGCAGUGGGGAAUAUUGCACAAUGGGGGGAACCCUGAUGCAGCCAUGCCGCGUGAAUGAAGAAGGCCUUCGGGUUGUAAAGUUCUUUCGGUGAUGAGGAAGGUAUCAAAUUUAAUAGAUUUGGUAAUUGACGUUAGUCACAGAAGAAGCACCGGCUAACUCCGUGCCAGCAGCCGCGGUAAU